This 69-nucleotide transfer RNA is filed under the name Marmota monax (woodchuck). It matches the Rfam family "tRNA". Rfam says of the family: Transfer RNA (tRNA) molecules are approximately 80 nucleotides in length. Their secondary structure includes four short double-helical elements and three loops (D, anti-codon, and T loops). Lineage: Eukaryota; Metazoa; Chordata; Mammalia; Rodentia; Sciuridae. The record is from Rfam by way of RNAcentral.
GGUGCUGGGGCUCAGUGGCAGAGCACUUGCCUAGCAUGUGUGAGGCAUUGGGUUCAAUCCUCAGCACCA